Molecule: long non-coding RNA, 375 nt
Organism: Astatotilapia calliptera (eastern happy)
Lineage: Eukaryota; Metazoa; Chordata; Actinopteri; Cichliformes; Cichlidae
Source: Ensembl
CAGCAAGAGCCGAUUAAAUGACAGCUACAGCAGUCUAUUUUAUUCUGCCAUUGCGGAGAGAGGUGUUCGUGUUAUCCCCACCAAUGAGAAUAUAGUGCCUCCGGUCCUGGGGGUUUCACUGCUGUACUCACCUCUCCAUGGCAAAUCGCCCAACCUAAAUUGGAAGAGUGGACUGCCUUCUCAGCCGCUGUUGUGAACUCCUCCUUGGUGGAGUCUGCUGUCUUGUCUUGUCUUAUCUUGUUUUUAUUAAGUAGGCUUACCUUUUUUUUGGUUCGCCUGGUGUUCUAUUUUAUUUUGGACUGUUGCUCGUACCCACGCUUCUGUGAUCGGGCUGAAGUGAUUCUCUGCCCAAGUGUCGUGCUGGGACUCCAAAUC